Molecule: transfer RNA, 73 nt
Organism: Ostreococcus lucimarinus CCE9901
Lineage: Eukaryota; Viridiplantae; Chlorophyta; Mamiellophyceae; Mamiellales; Bathycoccaceae
Rfam family: tRNA
About the family: Transfer RNA (tRNA) molecules are approximately 80 nucleotides in length. Their secondary structure includes four short double-helical elements and three loops (D, anti-codon, and T loops).
Source: Rfam
GGGCUAUUAGCUCAGUUGGAAGAGCGUCAGACUUCGAAUCUGAAUGUCGCGGGUUCGAGCCCCGUAUGGCCCU